RNAcentral lists this long non-coding RNA (957 nucleotides) under Homo sapiens (human). RNAcentral describes it as "non-protein coding lnc-ANGPT4-1:1". The record is from RNAcentral. Lineage: Eukaryota; Metazoa; Chordata; Mammalia; Primates; Hominidae.
CCUGUAUGUCCGUCAACAAGUUGGAUGAAUAAACAAAAUACAGUGCAUCCACACUGUGGAAUACUACUCGUCAGUAAAAAGGAACAAGCUACAGAUACACUCAGCAACACGGGCGAAUCUCAACCAAGUCCAUGAUGCUGACUGAGAGAAGCCAGAUUCCAUUUGCAUGAACUCUGGGAAAGACAAAGCUGAUCUACAGUGAAAGAAAACUGAUCUGUAGUUUCUUCGGGUGGGAGCGGGUGGGAGUCAGGGGCUGACUGUGGGGGGCGUGAAGGAACAUGGUGGGAUGAUACAGGAAUUCUAGCACUUGUCUGUAGUGCCAUACAACUGUCAAAAUGCAUCCAACUGUACACCUAAAAUGGGCCAAUUUUAUUGUUUAUCAAUUCAACCUCAAUAAAAAAAGGAAAAAAAAUCUCUAGUUCCCCAUCCUUCCCUGCUUCAUUUUUCUCCUUAGCAUUUUCACUCUGGCAAGUAUUGUCUGUGUCCCCUCUGGAAUGUCAGCUCCUCGAGGGCAGGGAUUUUUAUCUGUUUUGUUUUCUGUUGCAUCUUCAGUUCCUAGAAGAGUGUUUGGCACACAGUAGGUGCUCAAUGGAUAUUGAUGAAUGAAGGAAUGAAUUCAGUCCCUGCAGGCUGAUUCAUUGACAGGGAUGGCUGUUUUGGAGUGUCCAUACACCCACCUGGAGGCUGCAGAACAAAGGCGAGAUGGGAGGGCCUGUGAGACUGUGGGCAGUGGCAUCAUUCCAUCUGAGGCCGUGUCAUUGCUCAGGCAUUUGGACGACGCCAUUCCCGGGGCGGUGUCAUGCCCACCAACCACCUUGGCGGGUGGCCCAGCCCAGAACCUGAUGUGCGUUAGCUGGGAUUUCCUUUGGGUGCUGUGUGUGUGGAAACCCAAAUAUGACCGUAGAGGGUGGAGCCACAAAACCAAGCUGGGCAGAGCCCACAGUGUGGCAUGAGGUU